UACGGGGGGGGCAAGCGUUGUUCGGAAUUACUGGGCGUAAAGGGCUUGUAGGCGGCCAACUAAGUCAGACGUGAAAUCCCUCGGCUUAACCGGGGAACUGCGUCUGAUACUGGAUGACUGGAGUGUGGGAGAGGGAUGCGGAAUUCCAGGUGUAGCGGUGAAAUGCGUAGAUAUCUGGAGGAACACCGGUGGCGAAGGCGGCAUCCUGGACCGGUAUUGACGCUGAGGCGCGAAAGCUAGGGGAGCAAACGGG
RNAcentral lists this ribosomal RNA (253 nucleotides) under uncultured bacterium. Its description in RNAcentral is "partial 16S ribosomal RNA". It matches the Rfam family "Bacterial small subunit ribosomal RNA", at positions 524 to 776 of the family's 1533-position model. The record is from RNAcentral.